AAGGAGAGUAGGUUAACACUCCCCUUGAGAAGAAUGGAAGAGGUCCUAGUGGUCUUUACAGCACAUAUACGGUAAAGGCACUGCUGUCUACUUUGGGGCAUCUAACUCUUUUUCUCU
Molecule: non-coding RNA, 117 nt
Filed under: Ornithorhynchus anatinus (platypus)
Lineage: Eukaryota; Metazoa; Chordata; Mammalia; Monotremata; Ornithorhynchidae
Source: RNAcentral